GCCAUAUAGUAACAUGAUUUGCCUUUGCUUUCAGAGUGAUAAUGGUUAACUGCUGAGCUCAGAUUACAAAAGUAGAACUUUUGAAGAAAGAUGUUUAAUUUGAGAUGCUGUCUUUAUUUCUUUAAUAAGUCCUGCAUCUCUUGUGCCGGACCUCAUCUUUGCCUCUAGAAACCUUUGUGUGAUGCAGAGGGGAAGGUCAAGAGUUUUACUUUUUACGCUUCUAUCAUUUUUAGUCAACGGUAAGACUUGUCUUCUGUAAGGACGUCUCAUGUAUGCAUUCCCUGAUGACAUCAAGAUAAUCAUUUUAAUCAGGAAAGAAGGCACUAUUUGCCUAAACGUCAGCAGCCACUGUGAAAAUGAAAGCAACAUCAUUUUGAGAUUAAAGAACAGAAGGAAGGUUUUUCUUU
Long non-coding RNA from Micropterus salmoides (largemouth bass), 407 nucleotides. RefSeq lists it as uncharacterized. The record is from RefSeq and is a predicted model, not a curated record. Lineage: Eukaryota; Metazoa; Chordata; Actinopteri; Centrarchiformes; Centrarchidae. The transcript is spliced from 2 exons.